Elaeis guineensis (African oil palm) is the source of this 463-nucleotide long non-coding RNA. RefSeq lists it as uncharacterized. Lineage: Eukaryota; Viridiplantae; Streptophyta; Magnoliopsida; Arecales; Arecaceae. The record is from RefSeq and is a predicted model, not a curated record.
AUGAGAGAGAACAGUGGUUGAACUCGGAGGAUUUAGCUUGGAUCAUCGAUUCUGAAUCGUACGAGCCCUAAUUUGUCUCCAGUGGCUUUGAUGUCUUCUAGCACUUUGGCCUUCCACUCUCUUGAUUAAAUUUAUAGCAUCUAAAGUGAUGAAUUGGUUGGACUUGGUAGACACGCACGCCCACAUCAAAAGUUGCUACAGCCAGCUCUGAAGUUCGCCAGGCAAGUCAUGCAGAGACCCGGCAAGGCUGAAGACUACACAGCUAAAGCCUUCUGUCUUUUCUUUUUUUUCUUUUUUUUUGGAAAAAAAAGUUAAAAGUGUGAAGUUGAAGUGCAGUCUCUAUAAUGAAGGGCUAGGUGUUUAGUUGACAGUGAGUUUAAACAAAAAAGAUAUCUAUAAAAUGCAGAUUCUCUGUAGAACAGGUUUUUAUGAAAAAACGGAGGAAACUCGAAUCUUGUUUUCU